Molecule: ribosomal RNA, 497 nt
Filed under: uncultured bacterium
Lineage: Bacteria
Description: partial 16S ribosomal RNA
Rfam family: Bacterial small subunit ribosomal RNA
Source: RNAcentral
GAUGAACGCUGGCGGCGUGCCUAAUACAUGCAAGUCGAGCGAACAGACGAGGAGCUUGCUCCUUUGACGUUAGCGGCGGACGGGUGAGUAACACGUGGAUAACCUACCUAUAAGACUGGGAUAACUUCGGGAAACCGGAGCUAAUACCGGAUAACAUGUUGAACCGCAUGGUUCAACAGUGAAAGACGGUCUUGCUGUCACUUAUAGAUGGAUCCGCGCCGCAUUAGCUAGUUGGUAAGGUAACGGCUUACCAAGGCAACGAUGCGUAGCCGACCUGAGAGGGUGAUCGGCCACACUGGAACUGAGACACGGUCCAGACCCCUACGGGAGGCAGCAGUAGGGAAUCUUCCGCAAUGGGCGAAAGCCUGACGGAGCAACACCGCGUGAGUGAAGAAGGUCUUCGGAUCGUAAAACUCUGUUAUUAGGGAAGAACAAAUGUGUAAGUAACUAUGCACGUCUUGACGGUACCUAAUCAGAAAGCCACGGCUAACUACGUG